UUAGUUCAUAUUUGUAUGGAAUGGGAUCGUUUGCGUACGUUUGCCGCUAGGGGCGCUGUUCCAGCUGCAUACAAAAUUGGCUUA
Molecule: microRNA precursor, 84 nt
Filed under: Bombyx mori (domestic silkworm)
Lineage: Eukaryota; Metazoa; Arthropoda; Insecta; Lepidoptera; Bombycidae
Description: mir-2807 microRNA precursor family
Rfam family: mir-2807 microRNA precursor family
Source: Rfam by way of RNAcentral